Molecule: ribosomal RNA, 253 nt
Filed under: uncultured bacterium
Lineage: Bacteria
Description: partial 16S ribosomal RNA
Rfam family: Bacterial small subunit ribosomal RNA
Source: RNAcentral
UACAGGGGGGGCAAGCGUUGUUCGGAAUUACUGGGCGUAAAGGGUUCGUAGGUGGCCACCUAAGUCAGACGUGAAAUCCCUCAGCUUAACUGGGGAACUGCGUCUGAUACUGGGUGGCUUGAGUGCAGGAGAGGAAUGCGGAAUUCCAGGUGUAGCGGUGAAAUGCGUAGAUAUCUGGAGGAACACCGGUGGCGAAGGCGGCAUUCUGGACUGUAACUGACACUGAGGAACGAAAGCCAGGUGAGCAAACGGG